Molecule: ribosomal RNA, 462 nt
Filed under: uncultured bacterium
Lineage: Bacteria
Description: partial 16S ribosomal RNA
Rfam family: Bacterial small subunit ribosomal RNA
Source: RNAcentral
AACAAACGCUGGUGGCGUGCCUAAUACAUGCAAGUCGAACGGGGAAAGCUUUCGGGUGAGUACUAGUGGCGCACGGGUGAGGAACGCGUGGAUAAUCUGCCUUAGAGUGGGGGAUAACUAGUCGAAAGAUUAGCUAAUACCGCAUAAGACCACGAGAGCUGCGGCUUUUGAGGUCAAAGGUUUUUCGCUCUAAGAUGAGUCCGCGUAAGAUUAGCUAGUUGGUGAGGUAACGGCUCACCAAGGCGACGAUCUUUAACUGGUCUGAGAGGAUGAUCAGUCACACUGGAACUGAGACACGGUCCAGACUCCUACGGGAGGCAGCAGUAGGGAAUAUUGCACAAUGGAGGAAACUCUGAUGCAGCGACGCCGCGUGAGUGAUGAAGGCCUUCGGGUCGUAAAGCUCUGUCGCAGGGGAAUAACACAAUGAAGGUACCCUGUAAGAAAGGAUCGGCUAACUUCGUG